RNAcentral lists this ribosomal RNA (497 nucleotides) under uncultured bacterium. RNAcentral describes it as "partial 16S ribosomal RNA". It matches the Rfam family "Bacterial small subunit ribosomal RNA", at positions 28 to 507 of the family's 1533-position model. The record is from RNAcentral.
GAUGAACGCUGGCGGCGUGCCUAAUACAUGCAAGUCGAGCGAACGGACGAGAAGCUUGCUUCUCUGAUGUUAGCGGCGGACGGGUGAGUAACACGUGGAUAACCUACCUAUAAGACUGGGAUAACUUCGGGAAACCGGAGCUAAUACCGGAUAAUAUUUUGAACCGCAUGGUUCAAAAGUGAAAGACGGUCUUGCUUUCACUUAUAGAUGUAUCCGCGCUGCAUUAGCUAGUUGGUAAGGUAACGGCUUACCAAGGCAACGAUGCAUAGCCGACCUGAGAGGGUGAUCGGCCACACUGGAACUGAGACACGGUCCAGACUCCUACGGGAGGCAGCAGUAGGGAAUCUUCCGCAAUGGGCGAAAGCCUGACGGAGCAACGCCGCGUGAGUGAUGAAGGUCUUCGGAUCGUAAAACUCUGUUAUUAGGGAAGAACAUAUGUGUAAGUAACUGUGCACAUCUUGACGGUACCUAAUCAGAAAGCCACGGCUAACUACGUG